UUGACUUAGUGGUAACACUGAAUGGCAAUGACUCAUAUGCGCCUGGUUCGAUUCCCCCUGGGUGCAAAAUUGAAAUUUUUUCUCAAAUAAAUUAAAAAAAGCAAAAAACGAAAAAAAAUAAUAAAAAAAUCGGUCCCGCCAGCCAUUUCAAAUGGCGGGAAUGACAAAAAAAAAUAUAAAAAGAAAAAGCUGACCAGUCACGAUGUGACAUGUGUCAGACCGGCGGCCAGUCCCGCCGUUUCAAAUGGCGGGAACGCGCUAAAGGACAAAAAAAAAAAAAA
RNAcentral lists this long non-coding RNA (281 nucleotides) under Medicago truncatula (barrel medic). Its description in RNAcentral is "lncRNA gene4423". The record is from RNAcentral. Lineage: Eukaryota; Viridiplantae; Streptophyta; Magnoliopsida; Fabales; Fabaceae.